This 148-nucleotide signal recognition particle RNA is filed under the name Homo sapiens (human). RNAcentral's name for it is "Metazoan signal recognition particle RNA". It matches the Rfam family "Metazoan signal recognition particle RNA". Rfam says of the family: The signal recognition particle (SRP) is a universally conserved ribonucleoprotein. Lineage: Eukaryota; Metazoa; Chordata; Mammalia; Primates; Hominidae. The record is from Rfam by way of RNAcentral.
GCCAGGUAUGGUGGUGCAUGCCUGUAAUCCCAGCUACUUGGGAGGCUGAGGCAGGAGAAUCACUUGAACCUGGGAGGCACAGGUUGCAGUGAGCCGAGAUCGUGCCACUGCACUCCAUCCUGGGUGACAGAGUGAGACCCUGUCUCAG